Molecule: long non-coding RNA, 444 nt
Organism: Alnus glutinosa
Lineage: Eukaryota; Viridiplantae; Streptophyta; Magnoliopsida; Fagales; Betulaceae
Exons: 3
Source: RefSeq, a predicted model, not a curated record
UUGAAAGAAUUGGUAUGGAGCGUCUUUGAGUGAUGGCUGAUGUGCUGCUUUGGAAGAAUUGGUAUGGUAGUUGCUGAUGUGCUGCUUUUAAUUUUUUGUUCUCUAAUUUCUUUAGUGGUUUUUGAGUUUCAGGUUGCUAUUGGCUUGUGGAUAGCAUCUUUUAUUGGUAGUCUCUUCAACUUCAUUACUCUGGUCUUUAUCGGUCAACUUAGUUCUCUCAUUAGCUUUACUUAACGUAACAGGUGGAGGUUUCGAGUGUUUUCCGAAGGUUGGUGAAGUUGCGAAAAGGAAUAUAGGAGUUUCUAUGAUAACUCUGACGCAUAGGCUGAAGCUACUUGAGCAAGAGAAAAUGAGAGCAACUGGAAUUUUAUAUAUUUAUAUUUAUUUCAAUAAACGUGAACUACAACUACUAGUCCAUUCCUUUGGUUAUGUUUAUUUUUUAAC